This 492-nucleotide ribosomal RNA is filed under the name uncultured bacterium. Its description in RNAcentral is "partial 16S ribosomal RNA". It matches the Rfam family "Bacterial small subunit ribosomal RNA", at positions 29 to 507 of the family's 1533-position model. The record is from RNAcentral.
AGUGAACGCUGGCGGUAGGCCUAACACAUGCAAGUCGAACGGCAGCACAGUAAGAGCUUGCUCUUACGGGUGGCGAGUGGCGGACGGGUGAGGAAUACAUCGGAAUCUACUUUUUCGUGGGGGAUAACGUAGGGAAACUUACGCUAAUACCGCAUACGACCUACGGGUGAAAGCAGGGGAUCUUCGGACCUUGCGCGAUUGAAUGAGCCGAUGUCGGAUUAGCUAGUUGGCGGGGUAAAGGCCCACCAAGGCGACGAUCCGUAGCUGGUCUGAGAGGAUGAUCAGCCACACUGGAACUGAGACACGGUCUAGACUCCUACGGGAGGCAGCAGUGGGGAAUAUUGGACAAUGGGCGCAAGCCUGAUCCAGCCAUACCGCGUGGGUGAAGAAGGCCUUCGGGUUGUAAAGCCCUUUUGUUGGGAAAGAUAAGCAGCAGGUUAAUACCCCGCUGUUCUGACGGUACCCAAAGAAUAAGCACCGGCUAACUUCGUG